GAUGAACGCUGGCGGCGUGCCUAAUACAUGCAAGUCGAGCGAACGGACGAGAAGCUUGCUUUUCUGAUGUUAGCGGCGGACGGGUGAGUAACACGUGGAUAACCUACCUAUAAGACUGGGAUAACUUCGGGAAACCGGAGCUAAUACCGGAUAAUAUUUUGAACCGCAUGGUUCAAAAGUGAAAGACGGUCUUGCUGUCACUUAUAGAUGGAUCCGCGCUGCAUUAGCUAGUUGGUAAGGUAACGGCUUACCAAGGCAACGAUGCAUAGCCGACCUGAGAGGGUGAUCGGCCACACUGGAACUGAGACACGGUCCAGACUCCUACGGGAGGCAGCAGUAGGGAAUCUUCCGCAAUGGGCGAAAGCCUGACGGAGCAACGCCGCGUGAGUGAUGGAGGCCUUCGGAUCGUAAAACUCUGUUAUUAGGGAAGAACAUAUGUGUAAGUAACUGUGCACAUCUUGACGGUACCUAAUCAGAAAGCCACGGCUAACUACGUG
This 497-nucleotide ribosomal RNA is filed under the name uncultured bacterium. RNAcentral's name for it is "partial 16S ribosomal RNA". It matches the Rfam family "Bacterial small subunit ribosomal RNA", at positions 28 to 507 of the family's 1533-position model. The record is from RNAcentral.